UUACAUCCGCUGAGAAACCAACUAGAAUC
Molecule: small RNA, 29 nt
Filed under: Bombyx mori (domestic silkworm)
Lineage: Eukaryota; Metazoa; Arthropoda; Insecta; Lepidoptera; Bombycidae
Description: piRNA piR-bmo-1976439
Source: RNAcentral